UACGUAGGGGGCAAGCGUUGUCCGGAUUUAUUGGGCGUAAAGAGCGUGUAGGCGGCCAAGCAGGUCAGCUGUGAAAACUCGAGGCUCAACCUCGAGACGUCGGUUGAAACCGCUUGGCUAGAGUCCGGAAGAGGAGAGUGGAAUUCCCGGUGUAGCGGUGAAAUGCGCAGAUAUCGGGAAGAACACCCGUGGCGAAGGCGGCUCUCUGGGACGGUACUGACGCUGAGACGCGAAAGCGUUGGGGAGCGAACAGG
RNAcentral lists this ribosomal RNA (254 nucleotides) under uncultured bacterium. RNAcentral's name for it is "partial 16S ribosomal RNA". It matches the Rfam family "Bacterial small subunit ribosomal RNA", at positions 524 to 776 of the family's 1533-position model. The record is from RNAcentral.